GGGAAGAGCCUCGAGUAGAGGUGACAGACCUACCGAGCCCGGCCAUAGCUGGUUGCCUGGGAAUUGAAUAAAAGUUCAGCCUCCCGGUUUCUUUCCUCACCACCACUUCAACACACCCCACAGACCCCAAGAAACCCGAGAGAGUUAGUCAAAGGGGGGAUAGCCCCUUUGACACAAGAUACAACUUUUCCAGGAGGGUACUGAUCAUAACCCAUCAAGGAAUAAUUACCCAAGUGGGCCCAAAAGCAGCCACCUCAACAGAAAGCGUCCAAGCUCAAGCACUAAUAGACUCCUUAAAUUCCGACAACCCACUCACAACCCCCUAAAACUACCAGGCCCCUUCGUGCCCCCACGAAAGAGACCAUGCUACCACGAGUAAUAAGAGAACACCCUUCUCUCCCAGCACACGUGUACACCGGAUUGGACCCCCCACCGAAACUUAACGGCCCCAAACAAAGAGGGAAAUAAACAAAACACCUAAAAACUAGAAAACCACUUAAUACCCCACCGUUGACCCUACACCGGCGUGCCUUCAAGGAAAGACUAAAAGAAAGAAAAGGAACUCGGCAAACAAAAGCCUCGCCUGUUUACCAAAAACAUCGCCUCUUGCAAAACUAAAGAAUAAGAGGUCCCGCCUGCCCACUGAUAUUAUAUUCAACGGCCGCGGUAUUUUGACCGUGCUAAGGUAGCGUAAUCACUUGUCUUUUAAAUGAAGACCCGUAUGAAAGGCUUGACGAAGGCUUAACUGUCUCCUCUUUCCAGUCAAUGAAACUGAUCUCCCCGUGCAGACGCGGGGAUAAAAACAUAAGACGAGAAGACCCUAUGGAGCUUUAGACACAAAGACAGACUAUUUUAAACACCCCUAAACAAGCACUAAAUCCAGUAAGAACCUGUCCCCGUCUUAGGUUGGGGCGACCCUGGGGAAAUACAAAACCCCCAUGUGGAGGGAGGACCUACCACUUAGACCCUCUUAAAAACCCGAAACACAAUUCUAAUUAACAGAACCUCUGACCAAAUUGAUCCGGCCAAAGCCGAUUAACGAAACAAGUUACCCUAGGGAUAACAGCGCUAUCCCCUUUUAAAGUCCAUAUAGACAAGGGGGUUUACGACCUCG
This 1114-nucleotide ribosomal RNA is filed under the name Trinectes maculatus (hogchoker). RNAcentral describes it as "partial 16S ribosomal RNA". It matches the Rfam family "Bacterial large subunit ribosomal RNA", at positions 801 to 2528 of the family's 2925-position model. Lineage: Eukaryota; Metazoa; Chordata; Actinopteri; Pleuronectiformes; Achiridae. The record is from RNAcentral.